Molecule: ribosomal RNA, 207 nt
Filed under: Triticum aestivum (bread wheat)
Lineage: Eukaryota; Viridiplantae; Streptophyta; Magnoliopsida; Poales; Poaceae
Description: partial small subunit ribosomal RNA
Source: RNAcentral
AUGCUUCUCUUAUCGAUAUGGAGUUGGGAGCACUUGCCAGUGGGGCGACCAGCGCUUGCAGGUUACGUGUUGUGGGAUGAUCAUGAUGACCCAGACCGUAUGCCUACAUGGGCGUAUAAGUGGGACAAGGUUGAAAUUUUUGUUGGCAAUUCAAAGAUCAUGUACUUGCACUACUGCAACGAGCUCGACAUCAUGACCCCGGAGUAG